GAUGAACGCUGGCGGCGUGCCUAAUACAUGCAAGUCGAGCGAACAGACGAGGAGCUUGCUCCUCUGACGUUAGCGGAGGACGGGUGUGUAACACGUGGAAACCCUACCUAUAAGACGGAGAUAACUUCGAGAAACCGGAGAUAAUACCGGAGAAUAUACUGAACCACAGGGUGCAAUAGUGAAAGACGGUUUUGCUGUCUCGAAUCGAUGGAUCCGCGCCGCAUUAGCUAGUUGGGAAGGUAAAGGCUUACCAAGGGAACGAGGCGUAGGCGACCUGACAGAGGGAUCGGCCACCCGAGAGCUGAGCCGCCGUCCAGAGUCCUACGGGACGCAGCAGUAGGGAAUCUGCCGCAAUGGGCGAAAGCCUGACGCAGCAACGCCGCGUGAGUGAUGAAGGUCUUCGGAUCGUGAUACUCGGUUACUGGUGAAGAACAAAUGUGGAAGUAGCUAUGCACGUCUUGACGGUACCUAGUCAGAAAGCCACGGCUAACUACGUG
This 497-nucleotide ribosomal RNA is filed under the name uncultured bacterium. RNAcentral describes it as "partial 16S ribosomal RNA". It matches the Rfam family "Bacterial small subunit ribosomal RNA", at positions 28 to 507 of the family's 1533-position model. The record is from RNAcentral.